ACUCAAGAACAUUGUUUAGAUGACACUCUAGAGAUGAACUCUUCUCUAGGCCUAGUGACUAUGGUUCUUUUCCUGCUUGGAGAAACAAAUGGAGACUCAGUGAUCCAGAGGGGAGGCCUACUGACCUUUCCAGAGGGUGCUUCCCUGACUAUCAACUGCAAUUAUUCAGUUGUAGGGUACCCUACACUCUUUUGGUAUGUUCAAUAUCCUGGAGAAGGUCCAAAGCUCCUCCUGAAAGCGCAGAGGGACAAAGAUAUUGGGAGAGAGAAAGGUUUUGAAGCCACGUACCGUCAAGACUCAAAAUCCUUUCACCUGAAGAAAGCGGCAGUGCAAGAGUCAGACUCAGCUGUGUACUAUUGUGCUGCGAGCGACACAGUGAUAGGACCUGCAGGGGGAGCAGAACACAAACCUGAGCAGGAACAGGGUCUGAAGCUGAGAGUUUCAAGCAUUGUGGUGCAAAUUGAUUCCAGCACAUUCUCUGUUUGA
Suncus etruscus (white-toothed pygmy shrew) is the source of this 486-nucleotide non-coding RNA. Lineage: Eukaryota; Metazoa; Chordata; Mammalia; Eulipotyphla; Soricidae. The record is from the annotation of a RefSeq genome assembly.